Molecule: ribosomal RNA, 253 nt
Filed under: uncultured bacterium
Lineage: Bacteria
Description: partial 16S ribosomal RNA
Rfam family: Bacterial small subunit ribosomal RNA
Source: RNAcentral
UACGUAGGGUGCAAGCGUUGUCCGGAAUUAUUGGGCGUAAAGAGCUCGUAGGUGGUUUGUUGUGUCGGCUGUGAAAUCCCGAGGCUCAACCUCGGGUCUGCAGUCGAUACGAGCAAACUAGAGUGUUGCAGGGGAGACUGGAAUUCCUGGUGUAGCGGUGAAAUGCGCAGAUAUCAGGAGGAACACCGGUGGCGAAGGCGGGUCUCUGGGCAACAACUGACGCUGAGGAGCGAAAGCGUGGGGAGCGAACAGG